GACGAACGCUGGCGGCGUGCUUAACACAUGCAAGUCGAACGGAAAGGCCCUGCUUUUGUGGGGUGCUCGAGUGGCGAACGGGUGAGUAACACGUGAGUAACCUGCCCUUGACUUUGGGAUAACUUCAGGAAACUGGUGCUAAUACCGGAUAGGAGCUCCUGCUGCAUGGUGGGGGUUGGAAAGUUUCGGCGGUUGGGGAUGGACUCGCGGCUUAUCAGCUUGUUGGUGGGGUAGUGGCUUACCAAGGCUUUGACGGGUAGCCGGCCUGAGAGGGUGAACGGCCACAUUGGGACUGAGAUACGGCCCAGACUCCUACGGGAGGCAGCAGUGGGGAAUCUUGCACAAUGGGCGGAAGCCUGAUGCAGCAACGCCGCGUGCGGGAUGACGGCCUUCGGGUUGUAAACCGCUUUCGCCUGUGACGAAGAGUGAGUGAAGGUAAUGGGUAAAGAAGCACCGGCUAACUACGUG
Molecule: ribosomal RNA, 468 nt
Filed under: uncultured bacterium
Lineage: Bacteria
Description: partial 16S ribosomal RNA
Rfam family: Bacterial small subunit ribosomal RNA
Source: RNAcentral